This 161-nucleotide small nuclear RNA is filed under the name Morus notabilis. RNAcentral describes it as "U2 spliceosomal RNA". It matches the Rfam family "U2 spliceosomal RNA". From Rfam's summary of the family: U2 is a small nuclear RNA (snRNA) component of the spliceosome (involved in pre-mRNA splicing). Lineage: Eukaryota; Viridiplantae; Streptophyta; Magnoliopsida; Rosales; Moraceae. The record is from Rfam by way of RNAcentral.
AUACCUUUUUCGGCGCUUUGCUAAGAUCAAGUUUAAUAUUUGAUACGUGAAUCAAUGACUCUUAUGAUAUUAAUUUAUUUUUUCAGGGAACAAUAGCUUGCUAUUCGAGUUCUCAAGUGUCGCCCUUGCCUCGCACUAUAGUAUUGGCCGGCACACCCCUC